AUGGCUGGGAUUGGUCCUAUCAGGCAGGACUGGGAGCCGAUAGUGGUGCGGAAGAAGGCGCAGAACGCCGCCGACAAGAAGGACGAAAAGGCCGUCAACGCUGCCCGCCGCUCCGGCGCCGAGAUCGACACCACCAAGAAGUACAACGCUGGAACGAACAAGGCUGCAUCUAGCGGAACUUCCCUCAACACCAAGCGGCUCGACGACGACACCGAGAACCUUUCCCAUGAGCGUGUUUCAAGUGACCUCAAGAAAAACCUUAUGCAAGCAAGGCUGGAUAAGAAGAUGACCCAGGCACAACUUGCUCAGAUGAUCAAUGAGAAGCCACAGGUGAUCCAGGAGUACGAGUCGGGCAAAGCGAUUCCGAACAAUCAGAUAAUUGGAAAGCUUGAGAGGGCACUUGGAGCUAAGCUGCGUAGCAAGAAGUAA
This 429-nucleotide ribosomal RNA is filed under the name Triticum aestivum (bread wheat). Its description in RNAcentral is "partial small subunit ribosomal RNA". Lineage: Eukaryota; Viridiplantae; Streptophyta; Magnoliopsida; Poales; Poaceae. The record is from RNAcentral.